Molecule: non-coding RNA, 100 nt
Organism: Favolaschia claudopus
Lineage: Eukaryota; Fungi; Basidiomycota; Agaricomycetes; Agaricales; Mycenaceae
Source: the annotation of a GenBank genome assembly
GACCUGGUGGUACAUGGUUGUACACUCUUGGUAAUAGGCUGCCGUCUGCUGGUCUCUAGUAAAUUUCAGGGGGUUCCUGGUUCAAUUCCAGGCUAGGUCA